AACGCACCUUGCGCUCCUUGGUAUUCCGAGGAGCAUGCCUGUUUGAGUGUCAUUAAAUCCUCAACCCUCUCCCUUGCGGGGGUGCGGCUUGGACUUGGAGCGUGCUGGCGAAGGUCGGCUCCUCUUUAAAUGCAUCAGCGGAAAGCUUUUCUGGCCGUUCGGCGUGAUAACACUGUUGCGCCGUGGAAGCCUCUGUAAAGGCCCCGCUUACAAUCGUCUUCGGACAAACGACAUCUCAGUGUCAAAUCCACUUUGACCUCAAAUCAGGUAGGACUACCCGCUGAACUUAA
Molecule: unclassified non-coding RNA, 290 nt
Filed under: uncultured Amphinema
Lineage: Eukaryota; Fungi; Basidiomycota; Agaricomycetes; Atheliales; Atheliaceae
Description: sequence contains ITS2
Rfam family: 5.8S ribosomal RNA (bases 1-52)
Source: RNAcentral